Non-coding RNA from Phascolarctos cinereus (koala), 942 nucleotides. The record is from RefSeq and is a predicted model, not a curated record. NCBI's taxonomy places the organism in Eukaryota, Metazoa, Chordata, Mammalia, Diprotodontia, Phascolarctidae.
AAACUGAGGCAGGCAGAGCUGAAGUGACAUGCCUGGGGUGACACAACCGGCACAUGUCAAGCCAGAUUUGAACUCAAGAGUGACGCAGUGGAGAUGAACGUCGGUACGCUGAAUGUCUGCAAAAGCUUUGGACUGCUGGAAACUGAGGCCCAGAGAAAUCACACAGGUGAAGUAUUGGACAUGGAAUGACCUUGUGAGAUUCAAAAGGACUGUAGAGAUCCAGUGAUAGGAGUCCAUGGCAGAGGCUGCUGUAGCAACCACAACCAAUCCGGAGGUUAGUGUUGGUAGCAGUGGGCUGGAGAGCCUCUGUCCUUGCUGAUAGGAGCUGGAAUGAGCCUUCUGCCUUCUAUUUUCCUGGAAUGUUAAUAAAGGUGCUGGUGCCCUGAAGAACUCCCCAGCUGGCAGGAAAAUUGACUGACCUCUUCGAGCCUCAUUUUCCUCUGUUGUACUAUUGAUGUGAGGUGAAGAUUCUGUGAGGAGAUUGAACUAGAAGAUCUGUGAAGACUUUUUUGGCUCUGCUUUCUAGCAACCUGUUUUGAUGACGUGAGAUAUGUUCAUAUUGUGACAUAUUAAUCACAAGGAGACCAAGACCAGGUGCAUCUGGGAUCACUGUCUCCUGACUUAACCUGGUCCCCAAGCCAGUGAUGGACAAACAGGGAAAUAGGAACAGAGCAGCAUUUCCCAGGACCUUCAAAAUCAGAAUUCAACCCAAUAUAUCCGCAAAGUUCCCAUAAUAAUGACUUUUAGUUCUGUAGCACUUUAAGGUUCUACAAAGCACUUUCUUUCCUCACUCCAACUCUAUGAAAUAGUAGUAUAAAUAUCAUGGCCCUACUUUACAGAUGUGGAAACCGAGGCAAGCUGGGUUACACAAACAAGGUCAUACUCUUCACACCCACCUGAAAGGUGGGUUACACAAUUGUAUUAUCUCCAUUUUAUAUACUA